RNAcentral lists this ribosomal RNA (253 nucleotides) under uncultured bacterium. Its description in RNAcentral is "partial 16S ribosomal RNA". It matches the Rfam family "Bacterial small subunit ribosomal RNA", at positions 524 to 776 of the family's 1533-position model. The record is from RNAcentral.
GACAGAGGCCUCAAGCGUUAGGCGGAAUCACUGGGCUUAAAGCGUGUGUAGGCGGAUCGUUAAGUGCCUUGUGAAAUCCCACGGCUUAACUGUGGAACGGCUGGGCAUACUGGCGGUCUUGAGCCAUCUAGGGGCGACUGGAACAAACGGUGGAGCGGUGAAAUGCGCAGAUAUCAGGAGGAACACCAGUGGCGAAGGCGGUGGUCUGGGCCGGAACUGACGCUGAGGAGCGAAAGCGUGGGUAGCAAACAGG